This is a long non-coding RNA of Nannospalax galili (Upper Galilee mountains blind mole rat), 1010 nucleotides long. RefSeq lists it as uncharacterized. The transcript is spliced from 3 exons. The record is from RefSeq and is a predicted model, not a curated record. NCBI's taxonomy places the organism in Eukaryota, Metazoa, Chordata, Mammalia, Rodentia, Spalacidae.
AGAUCACCACGAACAGACAGACAGGCCCAGGGGUGGUCGUGCGCUCUGGUCUCCUGGCUUCACCUUGGGUCACUACUCCCGGCCUCCCUUUACCUCACCAGGUCCAGAACCUGAGACUCCCAGACCUUGGGCCGAGGAACACAGGACUCAUCUCAGAACUAAAAGAACAUUGAAUCAGAGUUGUAUGAGAGCAUACACAGACCAAUGAAGCCCAUUCAGCUCUUCCUCAAUGGCUUCCAUUGCUUAAAGUCUUGAGCUAAGAAGCUUCUGCUUGUGUAGAGAAGACCUUGGACAGAGGCAGCCUGGCUGAGGCAUCUCAAAUCGAAGGUGCUUACUAAGGCUAGCAGCACAUCACCUAGCUCUGUCAUGUGAGGGUAGCCCUGUCUCAGCAAGUCCAUGUCCCAGUGCUAGUCCCUUCACUGCAUCAUUCAAGACUGUCCUGCUCCAGAAGAGACUUCAGGGAUGUAGCACUCAGUGAUGGACAACUAGAUCUAACCCAAAUUGUGUGGGCAGCUGACAGUCACCCAAAACCUCAAGGAUCUGUUUGGCUAUGUGUGUUUGCCAAGCUUUUCUCAAAGAGGGGCCUCAGACCUGCAUCUCAACACCAUGCAAGGAAGACAUGCAGCUUGAUCAGCUUGUGUCAUCUAAUCCCUUCUGUUGGUGGCCAUUCUGACCAUUACUGGUGAUCUCAUUUUUCACAGUCAACUCUGUCCUGUUAAGGUACAGUAACUCCACAAGCAGCCCUCUACCACAGAGGCCCAACACUAUUUCCCACAACCCAACAGGAGUCAUCAUCAUAGAGAUUUUUUUUCUUUUUGCUGCAUCAGAGAAUAGAAAAAAAAAAAAUCAGGGAAGUCUGGUGUUAGAUAUAAAAUUACCAUGUGGUCUAACAGCUCCUCUGGUAUUAGAUAUAAAAUCGCUAUGUGAUCUAACAGCUCCAUUUCUGGGUUUAGCCCCAAAGAAUUUAUUUACUUUUUUUUGUGGUCUUUUUGAGACACGGUCUCCCCAGC